Molecule: long non-coding RNA, 1832 nt
Organism: Osmerus eperlanus (European smelt)
Lineage: Eukaryota; Metazoa; Chordata; Actinopteri; Osmeriformes; Osmeridae
Exons: 2
Source: RefSeq, a predicted model, not a curated record
UGGAAAAAAUAUACAUGUUAUUUUUUUCUCUUCUUUUAAUCUGUUCUGGGUGCUUUGAUAAUAUCACAUAUUUGACAGAGCAUUUUGAUAUCAACAGAACAAUCAAGUUGUAAUUAAAAAUCUGUACCAUGACUCAGGCAGGUCAUGAGUUUCAUAUUGUGUCGAUUUUAAGCAAUACAUCCAAUAAGUUUACUUUUAUAUUUUCUCAGUGUGAGACAAUAAUGAGAGUUGGCUUUAGUCUAUCUGAAUCUUGGCUCCAUUAAACUCCCACACAGCGGAAAGUCACUUAAGAGUCAUGUACAAUGACGAUUUGUUCUGAUGGUUCUGCCCUUGAUGGUCAAUCACAAUCUCAUGGUGUGCAGCUGUGCUGAACUGAUCCAUAAAUAGCUGCUCUUGUAUGGUGGAGAGGAUGCUUCAGUUUGAUCUGUUGACGCUGCUGUGUUUCACCUUCUGAAGAGGACCCGGGGAGAACAUUCAUAUAGAUUCAAGUGACAAAACAACAUUAUGGAUGGAUAAGUGCUGCAUCCACACAUAUCACCAUGCCCCUCCCUCCUCCUACCCCUUUCCAUACCUCCUCACUGUCUCACCAAAUAUCUCAAACACUUUACAAACACCACACGUAUCCAUUUCCUCUGCUCUCUGCUUUGGCGACAUUGAAAUGAAGAACAAUCCUAUGCAUUUCUGUUGUUCCCUCAGUGCGAUGUAUAGUGUGUAAUGCAGUAGUGCCAUCUGUCUUGAAGACCUUGUAAUAGCCAUCCAGUCGUGCUGCUCUACAUCUCAGAAGCUUUUAGUUAGUUGGGAAUACGAAGCCACCAAGUCCUCCUUGCCAUAGCGUCGUGAUUCGCCCCAGUCUCACCUCUCAGUGAACCAGCCUAUGAUCUCCUCUAUUUGUUUCUUAAUCAUUCAAUGGGAAAUUAUCUGAAAUAAAGACAUUUUAAGUCAAAUUGUAUAUGUAGAAUCUAUAGAGUAAUCAUAGAGAUUUUAUUAAAGUGGAUAAUGCUAUUGUUCUAUCUAUAUUAUGAUGAAAUGCUAUACUAGGGGAGAAUAGUUUCUGUCUGUGUACUGUACUGCAUGUACAGUAGGAAUAUGCUGUAAAGGAAAAUACUUUGCUUGUUCGCAAUUGUUUUAGUUUUUUUACUUGUUUUCUUUUUAUUAUGUUUAUUUACAAGAGACAAAUGUUCAAACAAAGUUAUUGGGUGAUUUAUUUUGUCUCUGGAGUUGAACUAAAGGUUGAUUAAACAGCCAAUGAAACAACAGAUAUGGAAUACACAGGCCUCCUCACAUGGGAUUUUUGACCUUUGUUAAGUCCCUGGCUUUCUCAGGGCUCCACAUUCAGCAGUACAUGAACAUUUCUGUACUGGACAUUUCUGCUUUAGGACCAUACAUUCAGGAAGUCCUACACAGGCUGUAGCUGCAGGUCUGCUCACUCCGGAGGGUAAAAUAACAGCCAUGCAGCCCUGCAGCAGGACACAGGAUGUGGCUGGUUACCCUUAGGACAGUAUAUAUUUGAGUCGUGGGUUUGUGCCGUAUCGCACCUUUUUACUCGAUCACUGUGUACAGUUAAGGGGUAACGUGGGGGCUAGAUGACUAGUACAGCUCUGUUUUGAAGCCAAUCGGAGAGCCAUACUCAAAGCAAAGUGUCACAGUAGAUGAAAACAGAGCCCUGUGACUGCAUAGUUCUAUGCUAUACUUUGAUGUUAUUUUAGCAAUAAAGGUGUGUGUGGCCAAAAGGGAGUCUUAAGAAGGGGAAUACACUGUAAGAAGGAUAUUUUAUGGUACUACUAUGAUAAAAAAAAAAACAUAGAACUGCAUAUGAUUAGAGAUUCUGUGAA